UUGUAACGGAGAGUUUGAUCCUGGCUCAGGACGAACGCUGGCGGCGUGCUUAACACAUGCAAGUCGAACGAUGAAGCGGUGCUUGCACCGUGGAUUAGUGGCGAACGGGUGAGUAAUACGUGAGUGACCUACCUUUGACUCUGGGAUAAGCCUGGGAAACUGGGUCUAAUACCGGAUACGACCAAUCUCUGCAUGGGGUGUUGGUGGAAAGCGUUAUGGAGUGGUUUUAGAUGGGCUCACGGCCUAUCAGCUUGUUGGUGAGGUAAUGGCUUACCAAGGCGACGACGGGUAGCCGGCCUGAGAGGGUGACCGGCCACACUGGGACUGAGACACGGCCCAGACUCCUACGGGAGGCAGCAGUGGGGAAUAUUGCACAAUGGGCGCAAGCCUGAUGCAGCGACGCCGCGUGAGGGAUGACGGCCUUCGGGUUGUAAACCUC
RNAcentral lists this ribosomal RNA (439 nucleotides) under Rothia aeria. Its description in RNAcentral is "bacterial SSU rRNA". It matches the Rfam family "Bacterial small subunit ribosomal RNA", at positions 1 to 433 of the family's 1533-position model. Lineage: Bacteria; Bacillati; Actinomycetota; Actinomycetes; Micrococcales; Micrococcaceae. The record is from RNAcentral.